This 328-nucleotide ribosomal RNA is filed under the name uncultured eukaryote. Its description in RNAcentral is "partial 18S ribosomal RNA". It matches the Rfam family "Eukaryotic small subunit ribosomal RNA", at positions 1470 to 1796 of the family's 1831-position model. The record is from RNAcentral.
CCCUUAGAUGUUCUGGGCUGCACGCGCGCUACACUGAUGCAUUCAGCAAGUCUACAACCUUCUUCGAGAGAAGUGGGUAAUCUUCUGAAAGUGCAUCGUGAUGGGGAUAGAUUAUUGCAAUUAUUAAUCUUCAACGAGGAAUACCUAGUAAACGCAAGUCAUCAGCUUGCAUUGAUUACGUCCCUGCCCUUUGUACACACCGCCCGUCGCUCCUACCGAUUGAAUGGUCCGGUGAAUCUCAUGGACUGAAGUUUUGGCUAGCUUGCUAGAUUAAAACAUUGGGAAGUGAGGUAAACCUUAUCAUUUAGAGGAAGGAGAAGUCGUAACA